RNAcentral lists this unclassified non-coding RNA (349 nucleotides) under soil metagenome. RNAcentral describes it as "partial contains 5.8S ribosomal RNA, internal transcribed spacer 2, and large subunit ribosomal RNA". The stretch from base 1 to 119 matches the Rfam family "5.8S ribosomal RNA", at positions 35 to 154 of the family's 154-position model. The record is from RNAcentral.
GAUGAAGACGCAGCGAAAUGCGAUAAGUAAUGUGAAUUGCAGAAUUCAGUGAAUCAUCGAAUCUUUGAACGCACAUUGCGCCCGCCAGUAUUCUGGCGGGCAUGCCUGUCCGAGCGUCAUUUCAACCCUCGAACCCCUCCGGGGGGUCGGCGUUGGGGAUCGGCCCUUUACGGGGCCGGCCCCGAAAUACAGUGGCGGGCUCGCCGCAGCCUCUCCUGCGCAGUAGUUUGCACACUCGCAUCGGGAGCGCGGCGCGUCCACAGCCGUUAAACACCCCAAACUUCUGAAAUGUUGACCUCGGAUCAGGUAGGAAUACCCGCUGAACUUAAGCAUAUCAAUAAGCGGAGGA